GUGCCAUUUCAAGGUUGACGCUGUGAUUUAAGAAGCUAACACAGAAGGUUGAAUUCAGUCUCCGUGAAACCCAGAGCAGAGAUCAGAGAACUCUUUGGAUCCUCUCUGGAGUUACAACU
Loxodonta africana (African savanna elephant) is the source of this 119-nucleotide small nucleolar RNA. Ensembl annotates it as small nucleolar RNA SNORA26. NCBI's taxonomy places the organism in Eukaryota, Metazoa, Chordata, Mammalia, Proboscidea, Elephantidae. The record is from Ensembl.